AGUUUAAAUAAAGGCUUUAAAUGUUGUUUUUCUUGUUUUAGAGAAACGCAAAUAUAGUCUUUAUUUUGGGAUUUCUAUUAAAAGGAACAGAAAAAGUAUAAUUAUUAUUAUAAAACAACAUUUUCCGCAUUUAUUACAAACAAAAAUAAAAUAAAAAAGAUGGAUAAAUUAAGAUUUGAUUUCGCUGUCAAGACAGCAGCAGAUGGAAAAUCCAAUAUCUUAUGCAUAACCUCAAUAGGUACACCUGAUGGUCGAGUUUUUGAAAUACCAGCCGAAUACCAACCUACAAGUCUACAUAAAGAAAUUAC
This is a long non-coding RNA of Melitaea cinxia (Glanville fritillary), 308 nucleotides long. RefSeq lists it as uncharacterized. Lineage: Eukaryota; Metazoa; Arthropoda; Insecta; Lepidoptera; Nymphalidae. The record is from RefSeq and is a predicted model, not a curated record. The transcript has 2 exons.